UACGUAGGGUGCGAGCGUUGUCCGGAAUUACUGGGCGUAAAGAGCUCGUAGGUGGUUUGUCGCGUCGUCUGUGAAAUUCCGGGGCUUAACUCCGGGCGUGCAGGCGAUACGGGCAUAACUAGAGUACUGUAGGGGAGACUGGAAUUCCUGGUGUAGCGGUUAAAUGCGUAGAGAUCGGAAAGAACACCGGCGGCGAAAGC
RNAcentral lists this ribosomal RNA (200 nucleotides) under uncultured bacterium. RNAcentral describes it as "partial 16S ribosomal RNA". It matches the Rfam family "Bacterial small subunit ribosomal RNA", at positions 524 to 722 of the family's 1533-position model. The record is from RNAcentral.